GAGAGGAGGAGGACAGAGUGAUGGAAGAAGAGGAGGAUCGGCAAACUUUAUGUUUUCAGUAAAGUUUGAGAUCAGCUCCUGUAGUCUUCUUUAUAAAAGAAGAACCCCUCUUGAGACAGCAGCCUGUUAUUUCCACUGCCCCCACCCCUUCUUUUUUCGCUCCUUCGCUCUCUCCAGGGUGAAGGAAAGAGUGAGGAACGGAUAGGAGCUGGGGAGAGGUGUUGCCCAAAGCAGAAGGGGCCUCUGAAAAUGUUGCACAGAAACCGUCUGUCCAGAGUGCGUAGCUCUGACAGGGCAUCUGAUCUGGGUAAUUGUCAUGGCAACAUUACCCCGACCUUCAUCACCAUUAUCCCCCAUCUUCCCUCUGCUUGGCCCCCUAUGUUCUGACUGACGU
This is a long non-coding RNA of Thalassophryne amazonica, 394 nucleotides long. RefSeq lists it as uncharacterized. The transcript has 3 exons. NCBI's taxonomy places the organism in Eukaryota, Metazoa, Chordata, Actinopteri, Batrachoidiformes, Batrachoididae. The record is from RefSeq and is a predicted model, not a curated record.